UUUAACUGACUCUAGCAUUCGAUCUGUUUUAUAUAAAAAGUCUAGUAUUUGUUUCAUUUAUUUACGAAAAAUAAUUGGAUUUCUUUGAAAAUUGCAGGUUCAAUUGUUUCCCAAUUAGAUUGGAAGAUUCUGGCUGAGAAACCAUUGGGACCAGGCGCUUUACGAGCAUGUAUAGCAAAAGGGUUUAUGGUUCUCUCUAUUGCAUCGGAGCCAUCAAAGAGGAUGGACAUGAAGAGCUUGGCAUAGUACUUGCAGAUUGCAUCAGAGAUUUAUUCCUCUUCGAAUACAGCUAGCAGGAGUUUGUUGUUUAGGUCGUGGAUAGUUGCGUCAUUCGGAAUCGGGUUGGACAUGGCUGAGUCGAGUAGUUCUCUAAGGUUCUCAAUCGCCUUCCUGCUGUUCUCAUGGAAUUUCUUGCUCCAGGUACUCUUCUACAGAUAGAUAUGAGUGGGUGGUGAUGUGAGCCCUCAUACUUGAGGUAUUGGCUUCUGCAGGAUGAGAAGAUGUCUGUCCAUUCACUAUUACUCCGGGCCCUGUCUAGUCAACAUUGAACAAAGUGAUUGUGUCUCUUACCCCUCCAUGACAAGUAGCUUCCGUAGUGUUUUAGAUUAAAAAGAUCAUUCUAUGACAUGAAGGUUCUAAAGGCAUAGGAAGUGCCUUCAGCCCUGUUUGGUCCUCCCAUUUUUUCACUGUUGUCUAGAAUUUUAUUGAAGUCUCAUGUAAGGAACUAGGCUUCUCGUGGGUUAGGGUGUAGGGUAGCUAACUCUCCACAUUGCUUGUCUUUUGCUAUGAUCUGGUUCUCCAUAUACAAAUGUAACUUGGAAGGAGUGUCUUUUGUAGGAAAUUUUGGUAUCGAUGUAGUUUUGAGAAGAUUUUAGGACUGUGAGCUUGACAUCCUUUUUCCAACCAAGAAAAAGUCCUCCUCCUCUGGGGCUGUGGGGUGAAACAAUGUAAUAGUCCUCCAUAGUAGUCAUUGUAGGUCUUGUAGUACUUUUUCAUCGGGGUUUUUAGUUUCCAUUAGAUAGAUUUAUAUCUGGAGAAUUCUUCUUCUAGAUUUUUUUUUGCUGUUGGACUUUGGGAUUUUCUAACCCACAACAGUUCAAACUUGCUAUGACUAAAGACUCCAGGAUAGAGGAGCUUGAAAAUCCGAGCUUUUCUUGGUCAUUGGUGGGAUGAGUUGAAUGGUUGGCUGGUUGGAUAUGUUUGAUGAUCCUAUCCAUUCGUCGAAGGAUUCGGUGGGCCGGUGGGGUAUUCCUUUGAUUUUUACUUCCUCUUGGUGAUCACACAGUCCUAGGAGUUGACAUAAUUAGAGAUUGCAAUCUUUUCUUUGAGCUUGCUCCCUUGGGGAUCUUUGGACUAACUGCCUUGAAUUUUAAAACUGCAGGUGUCGCUCUCUUCCUCUUUGUGCCCACUUCAUUCUAACUUAGUUUUUCAAUAACUUUUCAGAUGUGUUAUAUACUUGCUGCAAGUAAGCAAAUGGCUUAAUCAACCUUUCGAUGUGAUCUUACUU
This is an RNA transcript of Raphanus sativus (radish), 1507 nucleotides long. RefSeq lists it as uncharacterized. The record is from RefSeq and is a predicted model, not a curated record. The transcript is spliced from 4 exons. Lineage: Eukaryota; Viridiplantae; Streptophyta; Magnoliopsida; Brassicales; Brassicaceae.